This 489-nucleotide ribosomal RNA is filed under the name Triticum aestivum (bread wheat). Its description in RNAcentral is "partial small subunit ribosomal RNA". Lineage: Eukaryota; Viridiplantae; Streptophyta; Magnoliopsida; Poales; Poaceae. The record is from RNAcentral.
AUGAUAAACCUAGUUCAUCCUCCUGACGAGCUGGUUGAUGUAGUUCUCACGGUUGCCGGCAUCACCACCCUCGACGUAGUGGUUCCUCUUCUUCUUGAGGCCUCCCAGCGGCGCCUUCAGCUUGAAGGGCCACAGGAAGUUGUUGGCCUCCUUGAAGUGAGGGCCAACGGUCAAGAUCUCGUGCACAAGGUCCUCAAUGCAGAUGAUGUUGUGCUUUCCAAGACCCUGGUUAACAAGAUAAACAAAAUGGUCAGGAUCAUCCCAGAGUUGCAUUUGGAGAUGCAAAGUAAAGAUCCAGGAUCAUCCCAGAGUUGCAUUUGGAGAUGCAAAGUAAAGAUCCAUAUGUUGGGCAAUUUAACUGCUUACCUCCUCAAUGACCUUGUUGUUGGUCAGAGGAAUCCUUUGCUUGUUGAGCUUGCCAUAACCUCUCUUGUAGAUCAACUCCCUCACACUCUUCAGGUUCGGGUACCUACAAAUAUAAUGAUUUGA